CAUUAGAUGGCUGAAAGCAAGCACAGGUCUCUUAAACCUCCCUAUAGUAAUUUAGCUCUUACUUCUAAUGG
This 71-nucleotide transfer RNA is filed under the name Margarinotus merdarius. RNAcentral describes it as "tRNA-Lys". The record is from RNAcentral. Lineage: Eukaryota; Metazoa; Arthropoda; Insecta; Coleoptera; Histeridae.